CCUACGGGUGGCAGCAGUGAGGAAUAUUGGUCAAUGGACGAGAGUCUGAACCAGCCAAGUAGCGUGAAGGAUGACUGCCCUAUGGGUUGUAAACUUCUUUUAUAUGGGAAUAAAAUGUUCCACGUGUGGGAUUUUGUAUGUACCAUAUGAAUAAGGAUCGGCUAACUCCGUGCCAGCAGCCGCGGUAAUACGGAGUAUCCGAGCGUUAUCCGGAUUUAUUGGGUUUAAAGGGAGAGUAGGUGGAUUGUUAAGUCAGUUGUGAAAGUUUGCGGCUCAACCGUAAAAUUGCAGUUGAAACUGGCAGUCUUGAGUACAGUAGAGGUGGGCGGAAUUCGUGGUGUAGCGGUGAAAUGCUUAGAUAUCACGAAGAACUCCGAUUGCGAAGGCAGUUCACUGGACUGCAACUGACACUGAGGCUCGAAAGUGUGGGUAUCAAACAGGAUUAGAUACCCUAGUAGUC
Molecule: ribosomal RNA, 460 nt
Filed under: uncultured bacterium
Lineage: Bacteria
Description: partial 16S ribosomal RNA
Rfam family: Bacterial small subunit ribosomal RNA
Source: RNAcentral